GAUGAACGCUGGCGGCGUGCCUAAUACAUGCAAGUCGAGCGAACAGACGAGGAGCUUGCUCCUCUGACGUUAGCGGCGGACGGGUGAGUAACACGUGGAUAACCUACCUAUAAGACUGGGAUAACUUCGGGAAACCGGAUCUAAUACCGGAUAAUAUAUUGAACCGCAUGGUUCAAUAGUGAAAGACGGUUUUGCUGUCACUUAUAGAUGGUUCCGCGCCGCAUUAGCUAGUUGGUAAGGUAACGGCUUACCAAGGCGACGAUGCGUAGCCGACCUGAGAGGGUGAUCGGCCACACUGGAACUGAGACACGGUCCAGACUCCUACGGGAGGCAGCAGUAGGGAAUCUUCCGCAAUGGGCGAAAGCCUGACGGAGCAACGCCGCGUGAGUGAUGAAGGUCUUCGGAUCGUAAAGCUCUGUUAUUAGGGAAGAACAAAUGUGUAAGUAACUAUGCACGUCUUGACGGUACCUAAUCAGAAAGCCACGGCUAACUACGUG
This 497-nucleotide ribosomal RNA is filed under the name uncultured bacterium. Its description in RNAcentral is "partial 16S ribosomal RNA". It matches the Rfam family "Bacterial small subunit ribosomal RNA", at positions 28 to 507 of the family's 1533-position model. The record is from RNAcentral.